GAUGAAGAACGUAGUGAAAUGCGAUAAGUAGUGUGAAUUGCAGAAUUCAGUGAAUCAUCGAAUCUUUGAACGCACAUUGCGCCCCUUGGUAUCCCGAGGGGCAUGCCUGUUCGAGCGUCAUUUCACCACUCAAGCCUGGCUUGGUGUUGGGCGACGUCCCCUUUGGGGACGCGCCUCGAAACGCUCGGCGGCGUGGCACCGGCUUUAAGCGUAGCAGAAUCUUUCGCUUUGGAAGUCGGGGCCCCGUCUGCCGGAAGACCUACUCGCAAGGUUGACCUCCGAUCAGGCAGGGAUACCCGCUGAACUUAAGCAUAUCAAUAAGCGGAGGA
This 329-nucleotide unclassified non-coding RNA is filed under the name soil metagenome. Its description in RNAcentral is "partial contains 5.8S ribosomal RNA, internal transcribed spacer 2, and large subunit ribosomal RNA". The stretch from base 1 to 120 matches the Rfam family "5.8S ribosomal RNA", at positions 35 to 154 of the family's 154-position model. The record is from RNAcentral.